RNAcentral lists this long non-coding RNA (239 nucleotides) under Panax ginseng (ginseng). RNAcentral describes it as "long non-coding RNA (PGIN_LNC016980)". Lineage: Eukaryota; Viridiplantae; Streptophyta; Magnoliopsida; Apiales; Araliaceae. The record is from RNAcentral.
AUAAAACAAGUUCAAGAAUUAAUUUAUCCAGGAACUAAUAACGUCCAAAUUGUCAACAUGAUACUUCUUUGUAGAGUAAAAUUCAAGAAUGCUCAGAAGAAUAUUUUCAUAAAAAGAUACUGGAUGAAGCGCAAAUAUCAAGGAUAUUCCACUAAUUUCAUGGAGUAUAGAAGUCAAAACUUUAACCAACUGAGUAUAAUAAAGAAUGGAAUAACAAAAGAAAUCACCAGGCAUGCNNN